This 379-nucleotide ribosomal RNA is filed under the name uncultured bacterium. RNAcentral describes it as "partial 16S ribosomal RNA". It matches the Rfam family "Bacterial small subunit ribosomal RNA", at positions 338 to 734 of the family's 1533-position model. The record is from RNAcentral.
CCUACGGGUGGCAGCAGUGGGGGAUAUUGCACAAUGGGGGGAACCCUGAUGCAGCGACGCCGCGUGGGUGAAGAAACGCCUCGGCGCGUAAAGCCCUGUCAGCAGGGAAGAAAAUGACGGUACCUGAAGAAUAAGCCCCGGCUAAACCCGUGCCAGCAGCCGCGGGCAAACGUAGGGCGCAAGCGUUAUGCAGUUUUAAUGGGUGUAAAGGGGGCGGAGAGGGGGGUGCAAGCACCGAGUGAAAGCCCGGGGCCCAAACCCGGGAACGCUCUUGAUACUGGGUGGCUAGAGUGAGAGAGAGGCAGGCGGAAUUCCUGGUGAAGCGGUGAAAUGCGUAGAUAUCAGGAGGAACACCGGAGGCGAAGGCAGCCUACUGGAC